GAUGAAGAACGUAGCGAAAUGCGAUACGUAAUGUGAAUUGCAAAUUCAGUGAAUCAUCGAGUCUUUGAACGCACAUUGCGCCCCCUGGUAUUCCGGGGGGCAUGCCUGUCCGAGCGUCAUUGCUGCCCUCAAGCACGGCUUGUGUGUUGGGCCCCGUCCUCCGAUUCCGGGGGACGGGCCCGAAAGGCAGCGGCGGCACCGCGUCCGGUCCUCGAGCGUAUGGGGCUUUGUCACCCGCUCUGUAGGCCCGGCCGGCGCUUGACGAUCAACCCAAAUUUUUAUCCAGGUUGACCUCGGAUCAGGUAGGGAUACCCGCUGAACUUAAGCAUAUCAAUAAGCGGAGGA
Molecule: unclassified non-coding RNA, 345 nt
Filed under: soil metagenome
Description: partial contains 5.8S ribosomal RNA, internal transcribed spacer 2, and large subunit ribosomal RNA
Rfam family: 5.8S ribosomal RNA (bases 1-119)
Source: RNAcentral